AGUGAACGCUGGCGGUAGGCCUAACACAUGCAAGUCGAACGGCAGCACAGUAAGAGCUUGCUCUUACGGGUGGCGAGUGGCGGACGGGUGAGGAAUACAUCGGAAUCUACUUUUUCGUGGGGGAUAACGUAGGGAAACUUACGCUAAUACCGCAUACGACCUACGGGUGAAAGCAGGGGAUCUUCGGACCUUGCGCGAUUGAAUGAGCCGAUGUCGGAUUAGCUGGUUGGCGGGGUAAAGGCCCACCAAGGCGACGAUCCGUAGCUGGUCUGAGAGGAUGAUCAGCCACACUGGAACUGAGACACGGUCCAGACUCCUACGGGAGGCAGCAGUGGGGAAUAUUGGUCAAUGGGCGCAAGCCUGAUCCAGCCAUACCGCGUGGGUGAAGAAGGCCUUCGGGUUGUAAAGCCCUUUUGUUGGGAAAGAAAAGCAGCAGGUUAAUACCCCGCUGUUCUGGCGGUACCCAAAGAAUAAGCACCGGCUAACUUCGUG
Molecule: ribosomal RNA, 492 nt
Filed under: uncultured bacterium
Lineage: Bacteria
Description: partial 16S ribosomal RNA
Rfam family: Bacterial small subunit ribosomal RNA
Source: RNAcentral